Mycena capillaripes is the source of this 88-nucleotide non-coding RNA. The record is from the annotation of a GenBank genome assembly. NCBI's taxonomy places the organism in Eukaryota, Fungi, Basidiomycota, Agaricomycetes, Agaricales, Mycenaceae.
GGCUCAGUAGUGGACGGUCCACACCCACGAUUCAUACUCUGUAUCCUCAUCGAUGUGGAAAUCGCCCGUUCGACUCGGGCCUGAGCCA